Molecule: long non-coding RNA, 1372 nt
Organism: Passer domesticus (house sparrow)
Lineage: Eukaryota; Metazoa; Chordata; Aves; Passeriformes; Passeridae
Exons: 3
Source: RefSeq, a predicted model, not a curated record
UCACAGGAUGUGGUUCUCCAGUGAAGUAACAUCAGAUAAAGGAAGGGAAGGGAGUCCACAGCUCGCCUACACUCCCAGUGGCAGAGUCCCUCUAUGUGCCACCUCCUAUUUCCAGCUGGAAAGGCAACCCAGCAGUGGGCACUGGCACCUUCUUGGGGCUGGGGGGGCUGUGAUGUCAUCCAGGAGCAUUCCUUACCACACAGGCACCUUCCCUGCCUGGUGCUCCUCACAUGGCAAACCACCAGGAUCUCACCCUGCCACAGCGCUGUUAAGAUACAUUCUCCACCCAGUGCUUAAAACAGUGGUAUUACAUUGAGUAAGGAAUGUGAGCAGGCAGAAGCAGAACAAUCCCCACUAAAGCUCUUUUCAUAGGCUUUAUUCUACACAAUGGCCCUGUACCCAACAGGAGCACAGUAGCACCAGAUGGGAGCAGAGCCUCUUUUCUGAGGUGAUGAUGACUACUGCAUUGAAGAUACCCUUAAUUAACUCCAUCUGCCUGAGAUCAAGAUCAGACACAGCCUCUCCAUUUAUGCUCAGGAUUUCAUUGCCUACUCGGAGCCCUGGCAGCAUGUGAAAGCAAAGGGAAAAAAAAAAAAGGGGUCUCCCAUGGCGCCUCAAGGACUUCAGAUUGUUCUGUCUCUUCCGUGACACCUGGUGGCCAAGUCGUGUAUCAGACAAUCCUUUCAGCCGGACCAGGCACAGCCAAGUUUUUAAAACUAAAGCCAAACAUUAAAAAUUUUCUCAACGAUUCAGUCUCCACCAGAAGAAGCCACAAGAAGAUAAUUUCUUCUUCAUGAUGCCCUGGAGAUGCAUUGGGACUUGCCUAAAUUAGAGUGCUUAUUUUGAUUUUAAAAACUAUAGUUUACUCUGGAUUGUUAAAAGUUUGUUUUGUUUUUUUUAUUUCCACCCAAUAUUAGCACGUGAAAGGAGCCAUUAAAUCGGGCCUUUUCCUCCAUUAAAGCCUCAAACUUCAUUAACUUCAAGCCAGUUCAAUGAGUUCACAUGGAAAUUCACCGUAACCUAUGCCAAAAGCUACAGCUGGAUCUUGUCCGGCACAGGACUCCUUUUUUUCCUGUUUUUCCCCUUGUGAAGUAAAUAAAAUAUAUUUACCAGUUGGCCGGAAAACAGAACUUGGGGGUAAAGAGUAUUUUUUUCCAAAAAGCUGUUUAGCGUAAUUUAAGUGUCUUGAAUCAUGAAGUCAUACAGUUCAAACACUGACACAUAUGGAGGCAGAAAUGUUAGGUAUAUUACAAUGUUCCGGAGGUGCUGGUGUUUUGUCUGUAGCUAAAACUGGUAUUCGUAUUUUACCUUCAACCUGCGACCAUUUUCUGUUCCAUGGUCUAUAGCAAUCCCUCUCAAUUCACCAGCACUG